GGGGGCUUCUGUUGAUGGGCGCCCCCUGACCCCUUGUGUUACGCCAAGUAUAACUACUUAGCGCAGCACACGCUUAUUCGCUCGUCCUGUUAGGAACUAGCUCGUCAGCGUUCGUAAACUCGUUAUUUUGGCUUACAUUUUUCCCAGCUAACGCGUGGGCACGAACAAGCGCGAUAAUCUUUACACUGCUGUCUACUUUCGCAUUAUCACCCCCUUGGUGGAGGUGCCGGGAGUUGAACCCGGAUCCAGCAGAUUAUUGCGUUAUCGCUUAUUUAUUGUUAUAGCUGAUUUAGC
This 294-nucleotide non-coding RNA is filed under the name Candidatus Hodgkinia cicadicola. Lineage: Bacteria; Pseudomonadati; Pseudomonadota; Alphaproteobacteria; Hyphomicrobiales. The record is from RNAcentral.